RNAcentral lists this ribosomal RNA (484 nucleotides) under uncultured bacterium. RNAcentral describes it as "partial 16S ribosomal RNA". It matches the Rfam family "Bacterial small subunit ribosomal RNA", at positions 29 to 523 of the family's 1533-position model. The record is from RNAcentral.
AGUGAACGCUGGCGGCGUGCUUAACACAUGCAAGUCGAACGAGAACGGAUUAUAGCUUGCUAUAAUUGUCAGCUAAGUGGCGCACGGGUGAGUAAUGUAUAGGUAAUAUGCCUUUUACUAAGGGAUAGCAAUUGGAAACGAUUGCUAAUACCUUAUAUUCCUUUUUAUCAAAAGAUAAAAAGGGAAAGAUUUAUUGGUAAGAGAUUAGCCUGUAUUGUAUCAGUUAGUUGGUGGGGUAAUGGCCUACCAAGACGAUGACGCAUAACUGGUUUGAGAGGAUGAUCAGUCACACUGGAACUGAGACACGGACCAGACUCCUACGGGAGGCAGCAGUGGGGAAUAUUGCACAAUGGACGGAAGUCUGAUGCAGCAACGCCGCGUGGAGGAUGACACAUUUCGGUGCGUAAACUCCUUUUAUAUGAGAAGAUAAUGACGGUAUUAUAUGAAUAAGCACCGGCUAACUCCGUGCCAGCCGCCGCCGUAA